This 648-nucleotide ribosomal RNA is filed under the name uncultured bacterium. RNAcentral's name for it is "bacterial SSU rRNA". It matches the Rfam family "Bacterial small subunit ribosomal RNA", at positions 1 to 638 of the family's 1533-position model. The record is from RNAcentral.
UGAGUUUGAUCCUGGCUCAGGAUGAACGCUGGCGGCGUGCCUAAUACAUGCAAGUCGAGCGAACGGACGAGAAGCUUGCUUCUCUGAUGUUAGCGGCGGACGGGUGAGUAACACGUGGAUAACCUACCUAUAAGACUGGGAUAACUUCGGGAAACCGGAGCUAAUACCGGAUAAUAUUUUGAACCGCAUGGUUCAAAAGUGAAAGACGGUCUUGCUGUCACUUAUAGAUGGAUCCGCGCUGCAUUAGCUAGUUGGUAAGGUAACGGCUUACCAAGGCAACGAUGCAUAGCCGACCUGAGAGGGUGAUCGGCCACACUGGAACUGAGACACGGUCCAGACUCCUACGGGAGGCAGCAGUAGGGAAUCUUCCGCAAUGGGCGAAAGCCUGACGGAGCAACGCCGCGUGAGUGAUGAAGGUCUUCGGAUCGUAAAACUCUGUUAUUAGGGAAGAACAUAUGUGUAAGUAACUGUGCACAUCUUGACGGUACCUAAUCAGAAAGCCACGGCUAACUACGUGCCAGCAGCCGCGGUAAUACGUAGGUGGCAAGCGUUAUCCGGAAUUAUUGGGCGUAAAGCGCGCGUAGGCGGUUUUUUAAGUCUGAUGUGAAAGCCCACGGCUCAACCGUGGAGGGUCAUUGGAAACUGGAA